Molecule: ribosomal RNA, 770 nt
Filed under: uncultured bacterium
Lineage: Bacteria
Description: bacterial SSU rRNA
Rfam family: Bacterial small subunit ribosomal RNA
Source: RNAcentral
AGAGUUUGAUCAUGGCUCAGGACGAACGCUGGCGGCGCGCCUAAUACAUGCAAGUCGAGCGAGAACCAGGGCUUGCCCUGGGGAGAGCGGCGAACGGGUGCGUAUCACGUGAGCAACCUGCCCCGAAGACCGGGAUAACUCGAGGAAACUCGGGCUAAUACCGGAUGCCCUCGAUGGAUCGCAUGAUCCGACGAGGAAAUGGAUUCCGCUUCGGGAUGGGCUCGCGGCCUAUCAGCUUGUUGGUGGGGUAACGGCCUACCAAGGCAACGACGGGUAGCUGGUCUGAGAGGACGAUCAGCCACACUGGGACUGAGACACGGCCCAGACUCCUACGGGAGGCAGCAGUAGGGAAUCUUGCGCAAUGGGCGAAAGCCUGACGCAGCGACGCCGCGUGCGGGAUGAAGGCCUUCGGGUCGUAAACCGCUUUCAGCAGGGACGAAAUUGACGGUACCUGCAGAAGAAGGCCCGGCCAACUACGUGCCAGCAGCCGCGGUGAUACGUAGGGGUCUAGCGUUGUCCGGAAUCAUUGGGCGUAAAGAGCUCGUAGGCGGUUCGGCAAGUCGGAUGUGAAAUCUCCACGCUCAACGUGGAGGGGCCAUUCGAAACUGCCGUGACUCGAGUCCGGUAGGGGAGUUCGGAAUUCCCGGUGUAGCGGUGAAAUGCGCAGAUAUCGGGAGGAACACCAGUGGCGAAGGCGGAACUCUGGGCCGGAACUGACGCUGAGGAGCGAAAGCGUGGGGAGCGAACAGGAUUAGAUACCCUAGUAGUCC